GAUGAAGAACGUAGCGAAAUGCGAUACUUGGUGUGAAUUGCAGAAUCCCGUGAACCUUCGAGUCUUUGAACGCAAGUUGCGCCCGAAGCCAUCAGGUUGAGGGCACGUCUGCCUGGGCGUCACAUAUCGUUGCCCAAUGCCUAUUGCAGUGCAAUAGGAAUUUCUAGGGCGAAUGAUGGCUUCCCGUGAGCGUUGUUGCCUCGCGGUUGGUUGAAAAUCGAGUCCUUGGUAGGGUGUGCCAUGGUAGAUGGUGGUCGAGUUAGAACGAUACCGAUCAUGUGCAUGCUCCCCAAAAUAUGGCCUCUAUGACCCACACGCGUCUUUUGACGCUCAUGACGAGACCUCAGGUCAGGCGGGGCUACCCGCUGAAUUUAAGCAUAUCAAUAAGCGGAGGA
RNAcentral lists this unclassified non-coding RNA (395 nucleotides) under soil metagenome. RNAcentral's name for it is "partial contains 5.8S ribosomal RNA, internal transcribed spacer 2, and large subunit ribosomal RNA". The stretch from base 1 to 122 matches the Rfam family "5.8S ribosomal RNA", at positions 35 to 154 of the family's 154-position model. The record is from RNAcentral.